This is a long non-coding RNA of Pan troglodytes (chimpanzee), 3497 nucleotides long. RefSeq lists it as uncharacterized. Lineage: Eukaryota; Metazoa; Chordata; Mammalia; Primates; Hominidae. The transcript has 3 exons. The record is from RefSeq and is a predicted model, not a curated record.
AGGAAAGCUCUAUUUGUCAGUGGCUGGGUGGAGGGCAGGAGGACACCCGGGGCCUGACCUGAGCACAGCAGGACCUUGCUAUCCCACCAGACCGGAGUACACAGGCCGCAUGUGAAGGAAGAGGCUGAUCUUUGGGCUUUCCAAAAGCUGCAGUUCUGGGACCUGGGGGAAAAUUGGAGUGCCUGGCUUCCAAGCAGGCAUAAUGGCUCUCUGCAAGACCAAGUAUGUACAAACAUCCCUUGAGCAGCCCUGCAAGCCUGAUGCUUCACCAAUGGGCGCCCGGGCUUCAUAACUGCUGAAAAUCAUGGUGUUGAUUAUCAGCACAGUGACGGUGCCAGGUGCUGCGGAAUCAGCUUGGAUUUUGAUUUUGCUUCCUUUAUGUGAAGCCAGGAGGGAGCUUAGCGCCCAGCACUCCGUGCCCCACCCCCACCACAUCGCAGCCUCCCACAGUCACCAGGAAAAGCGGGGGCUUUCAGCGGCAGCCAGAAGGAAUUCAGAAACAUCACAUUUCAUUUCGGGAAGAAUUGGAUCAGCACCAGUUUGGUGUUGAGGGCAUGAGAUUGUGGCAUUUUUAUCCCAAAUUUAUCCUCCCUUGGUCUCUCUCAGUGUGUGUGUCUGUAGGAAGUCAUCGUGUAGCAUUAUGCUAUGAAGAAAGCAUCCCACACUUAUUCAAUUGCAUCGUCCCACAUUCUGGAUCGGGAGACACAGACUCAAGUCAACCUGCAGCUGCCUAAUUUUGCAGGGAAGCAGCUAUCCUGAUGUUUGCAGGUUGGAGGCCUCCAAGUGACACACAUCAGGAAGAAAUGGGCUCUCCAAUCCCAGAUGAGCUGAAACACAAAUAUUUUCUGAGGGAACAGUCAGGAGUCCUAUCUUUCUGAGCCCUUUUCGAUGCAAGCAACCAUUGAUGAAGAAGCAUUUAUGCUUGAUACCUAUGGCAGGUGUUCUUCGGUGUGGAGAUGUUGUCAAUGAAAGAUUCAAAAGUGGUUCAAUUAUCAGAAGACCCUAUUUGUUUGCUUUUGCCCAGCUUUUGUUUGCUGUGUCACUCAGGGAGAAUAUAAACAACUUUGGCGAGGUAAGAUGGAAAAACAUUAGCCGGUACGGAAAUGUUCGACGGACAAAUGAGAGGACUUGGCAGAAGUUUGGCUUAGAAGAUGAAUGAUAGAGCCCCGGACAGAAUGCAAUAGUGGCAAUAGGCAUGCAUUCUUUGCAGAUGUGCACCGAAGGCUACAGGCUACUGUGUCUUUUUCUUCUGGCUUCUCUCUUGAGCUUCUGACACUGCACAGAAAGUGGGUCGGUCCUCUGACAGGCUUGAAAAAUGCAAAAGUUUACCACCAACUGGUGGGAAUACAUGCAACACAUGCAUAAAACAGAGAGCAUCAGUGGUGAAAUGCAGCCUGCAGUUUCUCUCCGAUAGUUAUCCAGAUAGUUCAUCUCAAAAUAAUGAUUUUGCCAUAAACAUACAGAUAUUGCAGGCAAAAGCCAUCACAAUUCAAAAGCCGUAACAAGAAUGGCUUAUUCUUUUAAGGGUUCCUUGUUAACUACAGAAAAUGAUCCACAUGUCCCAUUGAGGUGCUCUAAGAUCUGGGACUGGCUUCUACGUUUAUCUUUUUUGCCGAACAAUUCAGACUCCAGAGGGGAUUUUUCUUUUUGGUCUGAAGGGUGAAGCUUGUCUGGUCGGCAGCUUUUGCAAACUACAGCCGCUCAGUUGAGCUCAUUCCUCUGAGGUCUCUGUGCUGCCCCAAAAUGGCUCUUCUGGGCCUGAUGGAAAAUCUGAGCCAAGCGCUUUAAGUAGACACAAUGCCCCAGAGAGACAUCCGAUCCUCAGGGCGGGUGCACCAGCCACCUGGGCCCCUUACUCUGCCUGUGGUCCCACUCCUGGCCUUUGCUCUGGGAUUCCUGCUCUCUGGGAUGCCUGGACUUGUCUCCCUCUGUCCCCGGGAUAGGAAGCGUCGUCUUUGCCGAGGGCCCAGGGCUGCUCUUUGUGUUUUCAGGGGUUCAAGUCUCCUCUCUACUGCUUCCCUGUAGUAUGAUCUUAGGCAAAUUAUUUAACCCCCCCGUACCUCAGUUUACCCACCUGUAAAAAUGGGCUAAUAGUAUCCAACCUCAGGGAGCUGUUGGGAGGCUUAAGUGGGUUAAUUUAUGCAAAGGACUUAGAACCCUGCCUGGUGCAUAGUAGCAAUUAUUAUCUCCCCUGUUAGUCUUUAAACUCCUUCAAGCCUCCAGCAUUGCUUUAUUUAUUGCAGCAAAAGUUCCAGGAGUAAAUAAUCCCCAGACUGUCUCCCCUCUGUUGGGCAUGGCACAGGGCAGGUGUAGACUUGGCUUGCAAACCUUCCUUCUAUUGAUGUGGGCUCAAUACCCUUGGCUUUCCAACCAAGUCAGAGUGCCAGUCCCUGGAAAGAUUUCCCAUGACAAAUGGCAGCAGGACAAAGGCUGAAUUCGAUAAGACCCUUCUUUCACCUUGUUGGUGCUGCAGGGAGAGGGAGGAGGGGCAAAGACCAGAGGCCGUUAGAGCCCAGGGGGACUUAGAGCUGCCUCACGCCCACCGACCCUCCAACUCCCUCACUCCGCGGUGGGAAAUGGGGCUCAGAGACAUACAGUGACUCACUCAGGGUCACACAGCAAGGGCUGGGUCUAGAACUCUGUCUUUCACCUCUUGCCUGUUUGUUUCUUCUGGGAACCACCAUCACAUUCAGAUGGCAAGGACAUAAGGAACGCGGCAUUCAACACAGCCUUAACUUACUCAAAUGUUUCCUUUCAUGAACUUCAGGCUUAAAAUAACCCAGACGGGGUUUAACGUACCGCUGCAAUGUAAAGAGACACUGACUACCCCUCUCUCCCAAAUGUGCGUGGGUGUGUGUCUUAUACACACAAGGACCGUUUGGACACAUCUAAGGGUUGUGAUACAGCCGGGCAAUACCAGAGGGGCAGAGCGACAGCCACGCGCGCAAGGCACUGAACGCCUGGACCCCAACAACCCUCUGCACCCGCAGCCCCAGGCCCUCAUCCUUGCUCCCUGGCUGCCCCGUAGCCCACCCGCCCUGGAGCUGCCUAACCCUCGAUUAGCGACUGGAAGGUUUCCUAACAAGCCCAAGCUUGAUGGGAGCCUCUUGUUGGGUGAAAUUUAUGACCGGGCACUUCCUCCGAGAGACUUCCCACGUUGAAUUGUUGAACGCUUCUGACCUUACCGCCCCAAACAAGGGAAGGGUGGUGAGGGGAGGCGGGGCCGGCGGAGGCUGCGGGGAGAGGGAGGCGCGGCUCAGCCAGAUGUCCCGGAGCGGGAGGUGCAGAAGCCGGGAGCGAGGACCUGCGGGCGCCGGAGCGCAGGGACCGGGUCGCCGAGGGCGCACGGCUGUCUGCUGCGGAGGGCGCCACCCAAGUCACCACUGGCGGCAGAUGGACCCAAGCCUGGAGUUGGGGUGGUGGGGUGAGAAUCCGCCCGGGCCCAGCUUGUCCUAUCAGAAACGCCCUCCGAGGAAGGAAAGAAUUGCUGAACCUGA